RNAcentral lists this long non-coding RNA (5444 nucleotides) under Aotus nancymaae (Ma's night monkey). RNAcentral describes it as "lncRNA (ENSANAG00000038974.1)". The record is from RNAcentral. Lineage: Eukaryota; Metazoa; Chordata; Mammalia; Primates; Aotidae.
AAAAAUUAGCUGGGCAUGGUGUCAUGAGCCUGUAGUCCAAGCUACUGAGGAGGCUGAGGCAGGAGAAUCACUUGAAGGAUUGCAGUGAGCUGAGAUUGCAUCACUGCACUCCAGCCUUGUAAGAGAGUGAGACUCCAUCUCAAAACAACAACAACAAAGAAAAAAAAAACAAAAACCUGUAAAGUAGGACGUGACUGUAGGGGCUUGUAGUUCUCCUGAGUAUCACUGCUCUUCUUUCCACAGCUGAGAGAAUAUCAUCAGCACAACAGCCCUGGUGUUGGUACAGGAGCAACCGACACCAAGAGGCAAAUAAACAGCGGCAGCAACACUGACACCACCACUUCUCCUGGCUGCCACUCACCUGAGGACGAAAAUAAGCCAAUUUACCACCAUCUGGCAGCACUCAAAUGGCAGGUAGAGGCUCAGGCUAUCAUCGGUGCCCAGGAGACAGCCCUAUACUUUAGUGAGAAUGCAGCCAGGCAGCUAGAAGGUGGGAAUCUGGGCACCCCGUAAUCAUCAUUUCAACCUGGCACUUUGACAGGCUUUUAGGGGGAGUCCCUUGGGCCUCAGCUCAACCUCUCUCCUUCCAGGAGACUGCAGAUACCUCUCCGGCUGCCUGCAACAUGCCUCCUGACAGGUGGAGGACUUGAAGCAGGCUUUGUCUGAUGUAUCCAGACAGAAAAACGUGGCGGACAGAGUGAGUCCAAACACCUGCCCCGUCCCCCUGGCAAUCCGACUUCCCAGAUGGAGGAGUGAUGUGCAAUGAGGAGUUAAUAAAGGAGAGGGAUGGCCUGAGUCUGGCACUGUACAGGAACACUAUCAUCAAUGAGGAGCUGGAGAGGAAGAACACCAAACUAGAAGAAAAACUUAGACUCCUGCAGUCCGAAAAGUCCAGCAUCCAGCUCAGUGUCCAGGAGCUACAAAAAAAGCUGGAUAGGACCAACCUCCUGCUGCCGCAGGUGCAGCUACAGGAGGAGAUUGAGAACCUGAAGCAGGAGCUACAGAAAACCAAAAGAGAGCUCCAAGAAGCGCUGGAUGAAAAUAAUCGCUGGGAACACCUCUACCAGCAGCAGGAAGAGACAAUGAGGGAACACAAGAUGAUGAUGGUGGAUUGGGAGGAGAAAAUACUGCAGGAGGAACUAAAGAUGCGGGAGCAGGAAGAGACAAUGAGGGAACACAAGAAGAUGGUGGAUUGGGAGGAGAAAAUACUGCAGGAGGAACUAAACAUGCGGCAGCAGGAAGAGACAAUGAGGGAACACCAGCGGAUGAUACAAAGGCGAGAGGAGAAGAUUCAGGAGGAGGAACAGAAGAUUCAGGAGGAGGAAAAGAAAAGGCUGUGGGAUGCGAAGGAACAACUGAGGGAGCAGGAGAAGAAAAUACAGCAGGAGAAAGAGUGGCUGAGGGAGUGGGAAGAGAAGAUGGAGAAGCAGGAGGCGAUGAUGCAGGAAAAUAAGCUGAGGGAGCAGGAGAUGUGGGAGAAGGAAGGGAGGCAGGAGCAAGUGGAGAAGAGGGGAGAACAGGACAUGAUGUGGGGGAAGGAGAACAUGUGGGAGGAGUACAGGAUGUGGAAAUAGAAGACAAUGCAGGAGUAGAAUUAUAAAAUACUGGCUGGGUGCAGUGCUAAAAUACAGUUAAUAUCAAAUUUACCAUUUUAAUAAAAGUUAUUUUAAAGUUUCUACCUGAGGGCUCUCAUAUCUAUGUAUAUUUCUAUUGUCUUUCUUAUCUCUUGUCUUUCUCUUUUAGUCUUGCCUGAUGGCAUGCCUAGUAAACUUUCAUCUGCCUCCAGAGUGUAUUGACUUUGACUCUAUGGCACACAAUCGGAGUAAGGGCAGAUCACUUUCAUCUAAUUUGGGACUAAGCUGGUUCAAAGCAGNNNNNNNNNNNNNNNNNNNNNNNNNNNNNNNNNNNNNNNNNNNNNNNNNNNNNNNNNNNNNNNNNNNNNNNNNNNNNNNNNNNNNNNNNNNNNNNNNNNNGCAGCAGGAAGAGACAAUGAGGGAACACAAGAAGAUGAUGGUGGAUUGGGAGGAGAAAAUACUGCAGGAGGAACUAAACAUGCGGCAGCAGGAAGAGACAAUGAGGGAACACCAGCGGAUGAUGCAAAGGCGAGAGGAGAAGAUUCAGGGACGGGAAAAGAAGAUUCAGGAGCAGGAGGAAAAGAUUUGGGAGGAGAAGAGGCGUCAGGAGGAGAAAAAGAUUCAGCAGGAAAAGAAGAGGCUGUGGGAUGCGAAGGAACAACUGAGGGAGCAGGAGAAGAAAAUGAAGGAGGAGAAAGAACGGCUGAGGGAGUGGGAAGAGAAGAUGGAGAAGCAGGAGGUGAUGAUGCAGGAAAAGAAGAAGCGGAGGGAGCAGGAGAUGUGGGAGAAGGAGGGGAGGCAGGAGCAAGUGGAGAAGAGGGGAGAGCAGGACGACAUGAUGUGGGAGAAGAACAUGUGGGAGGAGUACAGGCUGUGGAAAUAGGAGAAGACAAUGCAGGAGUAGAAUUGUAAAAUACUGGCUGGGUGCGGUCGUAAAAUACGGUUAAUAUCAAAUUUACCAUUUUAAUAAAAGUUAUUUUAAAGUUUCUACCUGAGGACUCUCAUAUCUAUGUAUGUUUCUAUUGUCUUUUUUAUCUCUUGGUCUUUCUCUUUUAGUCUUGCCUGAUGGCAUGCCUAGUAAACUUUCAUCUGCCUCCAGAGUGUAUUGACUUUGACUCUAUGGCACACAAUCUGAGUAAGGGCAGAUCACUUUCAUCUAAUUUGGGACACUAAGCUGGUUCAAAGCAGAUUUUAGGUUUUGUGACAGCUGGUCUAAUUUUUAUCCAUUUGGGCUCCUAGGGGCGACCCUUCCAGGGUCACCACCAAGGCCCCAACUCCUUACUGGGACCCAAGUUCUCAUGAAGUCAUUUGAGCCCUGUGAGAGUGCCAGACAUUCAGCUCGGCUUUCCAGCCUCUUAACUAUGCCUUCAUAGUCGGUUUCUUAGCCUCUUGGCCCUAUGCCGUUUACCAGUCACCAAAUGUGGGGAAAAGACCUACAGACUGUCGGGGCCACCUCCAAGGCCAGGUCACUCAAGUCCUCGCUGAGGUCUCUAGUUACCUUCCAACAAUUGUUUUUCGUGGGGGUGGGGGCACAGUUUUUCUAACUGUCCAGUUUCUCUAACUGUUCUUGUGAAGAGAAGUUGAAAAUCUCCUCCUGUCUUUAUUUAUUUAUUUAUUAUUUUUAACAGAGUCUCACUCUGUUGCCCAGGCUCUAGUGCAGUGGUGUGAUCUGGGCUCAAUGUAACCUCGGACUGCUGGGUUCAAGCAGUUCUCCUGCCUCAGCCUCUCCAGUAGCUGGGAUCACAGGUGUGUUGGCACUGCCUGGCUAGUUUUUGUAUUUUUAGUUCCACCGUGUUGGCUAGGGUGAUCUCGAGCUUCUGACUCAGGUGACCUACCUGCCCUGGCCUCCUAAAGUGCUGAGAUGAUAGGUGUGCACCACCAUCUCUUUUAAUAAAUGUUUUUGGCUGGGUGCGGUGUCUGAUGCCUGUAAUCCCAGCACUUUGUGAGGCUGAGGCANNNNNNNNNNNNNNNNNNNNNNNNNNNNNNNNNNNNNNNNNNNNNNNNNNNNNNNNNNNNNNNNNNNNNNNNNNNNNNNNNNNNNNNNNNNNNNNNNNNNCGCUGCCGUCCCGUGGAGUCGCCGCCUGCUCCGAAAGCAGUCCACGUAACUGGACAACUACAGGUUCCUUUACACAAGUCCAAUAAUCACAUCUUCUUUAUAUACUCACAGUGAGGCUUUUUUAUUUUUUAGAAGGCAGCCUUUCAAACGUGUUUAUUAGAAUGCACGCUGACUCUGCUAUAAUUUAAAGAAAACACAGCUAUGCUGACAUCCACUGCCCUCAUUACCAUGUGUUUCUUCCCCAAAGUUUUGUCAAACUUUCAAAAAAUCCUUUUCCAAAUAGUUAUUCACAGCUAACUGCCCAUCAGACCAAGGUCCCCAGGCUUUUAGAGACACUUCCAUUGUGAAAUGGACGGCAGCCCCCACCCCAGCCACCAGGCCACCCACCACUGGCCACGGCAGUGUGUGAGCAGCAGCGCCCCCACGUCUUUGCCACUGUCCUGCUGGUCUGAGUAUACCCCUGAGGAUCGACAGGCUCUCCCACAGACACUGCCCCACCAUGAGCAGAUCCAGGGCAGCAGGGUAGAAAUGGACUCUCUUCUAGGGUGGGAGUAGGGGAGUCUUCUGUGAAACAUCAGUGGCCAAUCAGCCCUCAGAAAGACUUCACUCCUGAGUCUGAGGGGUGAGCAUAAGAGUGGCCGGAGCAUUCACACAACAUGCUUCAUAACUGGACCAGUGAAGUGCUCAGCCACCAUUAGAACUGCAAGGCACCCACCCCUCCCACCCCCUCGCUUCAGCAUCUGCGAGGCCUCUACCAGGAGGUUCCUUGCUCUCAGGCCCCUCUGCUCCCUUCUCUGGGACAGCCAGGGUCCUACCUGCUCGUGAGGCCACUUCGGCCUCUCCUCUGGGGUCCUGGUGUUGGGAUUGAAGCCUCUCUGGGGAUCUCCGCGGUGCUUGGCCUUGGAAGGGAGGUUCACAGUGACUUGGCCCUUGUCUCGUGCCUGCUGGGGCCUUGCUGGCAAGGCAGGCCUCUGCAGAAUCCCCAGGCCCUGGCUCAGGCCCAUGCUCAGGGCCGGCCUCAUUGGCGCUGGUGAUGCUCAUCGUGCUCAGGCUCAUCUUGAUUGCGGCCACGAUCUGGUCGAUGUCCUCCUCCUGGUCCUCCAGGUCCCCAUCCCCACACCUCAGGCAAUAGGGGGAGGUGCCAGUGUUCCCGUUGGCCUCUGCCAGGUAGUAGUCCUGGGGACAGUGAGGGCCAUCUUCUUCCUGGUCACGGGCCUCUAGGACGGAGGGCUCAAACUCCCGGAUGGGCAGGUAGUGAUCCAGGUAGUCCUGGCUGCCUUCAGCCCUGUGGCCCUGGGGGUGUGGGCCUGCCGAGUCCGUCCAUUACUCCACUGAUGGCCUCCUGGCACUCGUCGCCAUCCACUGCAUGCACGCUGUGUGGGCCAGGUACUCCUCUCCGUUGCAGUCCAUGCCCUCCAGGUAGCCGUCAUCCUCGGGGCAGUAGUGGACUUAGUAGGUGAUGCCCUCUCCUCCUCCUCAGAAGGGCCCUCGUCAUAGUCCUCCCUCCCUGGAGGUGUUGUUCAUGUAGUUGGAGCUGGAGUCCCCAUCGGGGCUGUGGUUGUCGCACUCCUGUUCUUUGGGCAUGGAGCUCUCUGGCCACAGGGUGGCCAGCUCCAGGCCCUCAGGUACAUGGCCUCCAAUGGCAGCUCCACGUCCUUGCUCUUGGGCUCCUGGCACUGUGGGACCAGGCCUGGCCUUGCCCUGUGGUCCAACAUGCCGCUCCCCACACUCUCACACUUCUGGUGGGCCAUGGUGGGCACUCACACAGUCGUCAUCUCCCGGAGGGAACCACAGCAGAAAGGAACACUGGGAAG